Molecule: ribosomal RNA, 492 nt
Filed under: uncultured bacterium
Lineage: Bacteria
Description: partial 16S ribosomal RNA
Rfam family: Bacterial small subunit ribosomal RNA
Source: RNAcentral
AGUGAACGCUGGCGGUAGGCCUAACACAUGCAAGUCGAACGGCAGCACAGUAAGAGCUUGCUCUUACGGGUGGCGAGUGGCGGACGGGUGAGGAAUACAUCGGAAUCUACUUUUUCGUGGGGGAUAACGUAGGGAAACUUACGCUAAUACCGCAUACGACCUACGGGUGAAAGCAGGGGAUCUUCGGACCUUGCGCGAUUGAAUGAGCCGAUGUCGGAUUAGCUAGUUGGCGGGGUAAAGGCCCACCAAGGCGACGAUCCGUAGCUGGUCUGAGAGGAUGAUCAGCCACACUGGAACUGAGACACGGUCCAGACUCCUACGGGAGGCAGCAGUGGGGAAUAUUGGACAAUGGGCGCAAGCCUGAUCCAGCCAUACCGCGUGGGUGAAGAAGGCCUUCGUGUUGUAAAGCCCUUUUGUUGGGAAAGAAAAGCAGCAGGUUAAUACCCCGCUGUUCUGACGGUACCCAAAGAAUAAGCACCGGCUAACUUCGUG